CCCUUAGAUGUUCUGGGCCGCACGCGCGCUACACUGACGAAGUCAGCGAGCAUGUCCUACGCCGACAGGUGCGGGGAAUCUUGUCAAACUUCGUCGUGAUGGGGAUUGAUUAUUGAAAUUCUUGAUCAUCAACGAGGAAUUCCUAGUAAGCGCAAGUCAGCAGCUUGCGUUGAUUACGUCCCUGCCCUUUUUACACACCGCCCGUCGCUACUACCGAUUGAAUGGUUUAGUGAGAUCUUCGGAUUGGCGCCACUGCGGCUCAGCAAUGGGCUCGGUGGAUGCCGAAAAGUUGAUCAAACUUGAUCAUUUAGAGGAAGUAAAAGUCGUAACA
This 331-nucleotide ribosomal RNA is filed under the name uncultured eukaryote. RNAcentral's name for it is "partial 18S ribosomal RNA". It matches the Rfam family "Eukaryotic small subunit ribosomal RNA", at positions 1470 to 1796 of the family's 1831-position model. The record is from RNAcentral.